Molecule: ribosomal RNA, 1346 nt
Filed under: uncultured bacterium
Lineage: Bacteria
Description: bacterial SSU rRNA
Rfam family: Bacterial small subunit ribosomal RNA
Source: RNAcentral
GACGAACGCUGGCGGCGUGCUUAACACAUGCAAGUCGAACGGAAAGGCCCUGCUUUUGUGGGGUGCUCGAGUGGCGAACGGGUGAGUAACACGUGAGUAACCUGCCCUUGACUUUGGGAUAACUUCAGGAAACUGGGGCUAAUACCGGAUAGGAGCUCCUGCUGCAUGGUGGGGGUUGGAAAGUUUCGGCGGUUGGGGAUGGACUCGCGGCUUAUCAGCUUGUUGGUGGGGUAGUGGCUUACCAAGGCUUUGACGGGUAGCCGGCCUGAGAGGGUGGCCGGCCACAUUGGGACUGAGAUACGGCCCAGACUCCUACGGGAGGCAGCAGUGGGGAAUAUUGCACAAUGGGCGGAAGCCUGAUGCAGCAACGCCGCGUGCGGGAUGACGGCCUUCGGGUUGUAAACCGCUUUCGCCUGUGACGAAGCGUGAGUGACGGUAAUGGGUAAAGAAGCACCGGCUAACUACGUGCCAGCAGCCGCGGUGAUACGUAGGGUGCGAGCGUUGUCCGGAUUUAUUGGGCGUAAAGGGCUCGUAGGUGGUUGAUCGCGUCGGAAGUGUAAUCUUGGGGCUUAACCCUGAGCGUGCUUUCGAUACGGGUUGACUUGAGGAAGGUAGGGGAGAAUGGAAUUCCUGGUGGAGCGGUGGAAUGCGCAGAUAUCAGGAGGAACACCAGUGGCGAAGGCGGUUCUCUGGGCCUUUCCUGACGCUGAGGAGCGAAAGCGUGGGGAGCGAACAGGCUUAGAUACCCUGGUAGUCCACGCUGUAAACGGUGGGUACUAGGUGUGGGGUCCAUUCCACGGGUUCCGUGCCGUAGCUAACGCUUUAAGUACCCCGCCUGGGGAGUACGGCCGCAAGGCUAAAACUCAAAGGAAUUGACGGGGCCCCGCACAAGCGGCGGAGCAUGCGGAUUAAUUCGAUGCAACGCGUAGAACCUUACCUGGGUUUGACAUGGAUCGGGAGCGCUCAGAGAUGGGUGUGCCUCUUUUGGGGUCGGUUCACAGGUGGUGCAUGGCUGUCGUCAGCUCGUGUCGUGAGAUGUUGGGUUAAGUCCCGCAACGAGCGCAACCCUUGUUCACUGUUGCCAGCACGUUAUGGUGGGGACUCAGUGGAGACCGCCGGGGUCAACUCGGAGGAAGGUGGGGAUGACGUCAAGUCAUCAUGCCCCUUAUGUCCAGGGCUUCACGCAUGCUACAAUGGCUGGUACAGAGAGUGGCGAGCCUGUGAGGGUGAGCGAAUCUCGGAAAGCCGGUCUCAGUUCGGAUUGGGGUCUGCAACUCGACCUCAUGAAGUCGGAGUCGCUAGUAAUCGCAGAUCAGCAACGCUGCGGUGAAUACGUUCCCGGGGCU